RNAcentral lists this transfer RNA (69 nucleotides) under Cataclysta lemnata. Its description in RNAcentral is "tRNA-Phe". Lineage: Eukaryota; Metazoa; Arthropoda; Insecta; Lepidoptera; Crambidae. The record is from RNAcentral.
AUUUAAAUAGCUUAUAAUUUAGAGCAUGAUAUUGAAGAUAUCAGGGAAAUUAUUUAUAAUUUUUAAAUA